Molecule: RNA transcript, 5045 nt
Organism: Crotalus tigris (Tiger rattlesnake)
Lineage: Eukaryota; Metazoa; Chordata; Lepidosauria; Squamata; Viperidae
Gene name: CD276 antigen-like
Exons: 9
Source: RefSeq, a predicted model, not a curated record
GGAAAAUGAAAGCAAAUGUAGGCACUUUAUUUCACUCUUGCUUUUCCUUCAUAGGCAUUAAAAAAAAUGUUGGGUCCUCUUUGGCAGGAAUAGUGGAAUCUAAUUUUUCCCCUUACUACCAAGAAUCUGGAGUGUGGCUUAUCAGGUACAAUUUUCUUUACUAAAAAAUCCAAGUUUCUGCCAGCAUUUCCAGGAACUGCUGGUGCUCUGAUACGACUUCCAGUGUACAGGAAAAACACUGAUUGCUGUUUCAAGAUUGCCUUCCACUGAGAUUCUGAUCAGAAGCAAUUGAUGUUAACAUGGCAUCUUUCCUAAAGUUACUGUUCACUUUCCUACUGUUGAAUGUUUUAAGUGACAGUCAAGCAGGAGCUGGUAAUUUAUCAUGUUCAAAACACAACAUUGCAGAACUUGGAAAACCUAUUAAAAUUAAAUGCAAGAAUAAUGAAACCAUUAUAAAAAUGGGAGUGGAAUUCUACUCCAACAAUUCUACCAAACAGAAUGCAAAUUUAACUGGUGUUGAAACAGAAAAACAGAACAGAAAAACGGCCUUUCUUGUAAUUAACCAAACAAAGAUAUUACAUGAAGGAAACUAUGAUUUAACAUAUGUAGCUGAAGACAGUAUGGGUAUACUGACUAUAUCUCUAGAGGUGUUUGCACCAUAUACAAGUCCUCAAAUCAUGAUACAGAAGGACACUCUUAUUUGUACAACAUCUGGAGGUUACCCAGAGGAGAAGCUCUAUUGGAUUUCUAAAGCUGGCACUAAAUUGACCCUUAAGUCAACAUCUAAGUCUGUGAAAAAUGAGGAUGGGUCAUUCAAUCUGAGCAACAUCCUUCAACUGGAAUUUCCUCCCUCUGAAACUGAAUAUUGCUGUACUUUCAACAACACAAGAGUUCCCAGCAGACAACCAGCUCCAACAUGUAUGGCACAUAGAAAUGUUAUAAAUUCCAUGAUUACAGCAGUAAACUCCAUGAUUACAGCAGCAGUAAAGACCACACCGGAAACAACUAGGAUAAUAGGCAUCCCGGUGGUUUUUAUUUCAUUGGCUUUCGGUUUAUUGGCUGUAUUUUGCUACAGAAAAAGAAAGAAAAAUGCAUCUUCUGCAAGAGGAAUUUCCAUUUUACUUGGAAGAAAAGACUUGUUUAUUCAGCUUAAUAAAAGUCAUAGUCUUCAGGCAUUGGAUGAGAUUUAAUUCUGUUUGCUUUGAGUAUUUUAAACUCUGCAAGAUCUUCCAAUUCAGCAUCAGAUAAGUAAUGUGAAGCUUACAUUGGAGAAGUCAGAUGCUCUUGAAUUCAUGUUUUUUUCUGAAAACUGGACAAACAAGACCUGCAGAUAUAAAAAACAAUGAAGAGGUUGAAAUUUUUAAUUGAAGAAUCAUUGCAAUUGCUAUCAACAGGAUUCUGAUUAAAAAUAUGGAUUGCAAGAAUUAAAUGCCAUUAUCAUAAACUAUUUUGAAAAACCUGGCACCAGUUUUCUGAGUAGAUCCUUCCAGUUUGGUAUAUGUUAGGUCUACCAGGUAUAGGCUGCAAAAAAAUGAGAAACCACUAGAGGACAGUAAAAUUAUUUUUAUGUCUGGACAUUUGCAGUCCAGAUUUGGUAGCUUAACAGUCUGUCAUACUGAACACUUUUGAUAUAGAGACACUGAAUGCUGUUGGUUAUUUAGAACUUUAUUAUGUAGCAUCAUGUUGGUGCAAGAAGAAAUGAUCUUCGAUACAAGGAUGAUUAGAUGUUCUGAAUGUGUGACACAUUUAAUAAUAAUAAUGUAAGAUAUAAAUUAUGAUGAGAAAAAUAUUGUGAAAUAUGCAUUGAGGGGGAAAAGGCAGUUGCAAACAAUGCAGUCAGAAAGCAGGAGACAAUAACAUCAAAAGUGGCCCAGAAAAUGAGUGAUUUUGAGGGAAACAAAUUGUUUUUGAUGAGGAGGGCCUUCAUGAAAGCUCAUGGAAUUAAAAAUGUUGAAACACUGUGGGCUAAAGCUGAAGUGAAUGCCGGAAAAAUUAUUUUAAACAAAAAUAUGGACCAAUAUCUCAAACUGAAAUGAAAAUGAAAUUGUAACUGUUGUACAAUAAUAAGGCUGUAGAGUAGAUGGCCUAAGCUGGAAUUUGUUUAUUUAUUUAUUUAAUUUUAAGAACUUCUAUGGUCAUUGAUCUCACAUAGUAAUCCUAGGAUGCUCCCAAAAAUCAAUAAAGAAAUCCCCAAAAAUUAUUUUUAAAAUGUUAUUUUUAAAAUGUAUAAUGUUUUAAACACAGAUGUGGUUUGAAUAUGACAACACCAUAUGACUUAUUUAACAAUGUACUGUAUGCGAAGCCUUCACCUUGGCCUGAUGAUUAGAAGAAUGAUAUUUGUUCCCCUACACCAAGAGAAACGAAGCAAGCAUUAAUGCAAAAAUUACUUUGGAUUAGCUUGACCUGUAUACCUGGGAAGGUGUUUGACAGAAUUCUGAAAAUUGUGACCAAAAGAAUAUGAGAUAAUAAACAAAAUUUGGAAAGUGCAAUGCAAUAAAAUUGUUGCUCUUAUGAAGGCCACUGACAACUGAACAAACAUGAGAAAACUUAUUUUAUAUAUUUUUAAUUUAGACAAAGCCUAUGACAAAAGGAACAAACUAGAAAUAGGGAAUGUUUUGUAUGAAUGCCUUGGUUGUGAGCCAUAAUGGUUGAAAGAAGAUAAAAUAUAACUUUCAGUAAGGACAUCCUUCUUUCAUGUUGUUAGAUAUGCCAGGAUACACUUACACUAUGCAGGGGUGUCAAACUGCUGGCCCGUGGGCUGGUUGCAUCAUGAGGAGGCCGCGCCCACCCCAGCUCCAGCAAUGCAAAAAAAGUUGUGAUACGUCACGACACAUCACAUGACGUGGCGAGUUUGACACCUGUGCAUUAUGGGAACCUGAUAUUUAAUAAGUGUGUGUGUCGCAAAAGAAGAACAUAUUGGGUAAAAAAAUAUGUGUGUGCUGAAGGAAUGUAGUUGAAUAUAAAACAAUGAAUUACUAGUACAAAAAAAGUACAUUGAAAUGGUUUAAUUAUAUAUAGGGAAUGAAGGAGUGAUUACAGUAUGAAAGAAGAAUGAGUUAAUGAAGAAGACUCACAAAAUCUUGAUUGGCUGGCAUUAAUGGAUCCUCCAAGAGAAAAAAGUUGUGAAGUUUAAAGGAUAUGUGUGUAGAGGAGUGUAUCUGUGUGAUGAAAGCAAAGAUAAUUUGCAAGGAUAGAAACUUCAAAGAGGUGUAGUAAACUGUGGCAAAUUGACUAAAUUGAAUUUGACUAAAUUUCUUAUGCUGUUAACUGAUUGGUCAUACUAUUUUCACAACAUUUUUUUCUGUAUUGUAUGUAACAUUUCUUGUCUUGGAAAGGAAUAGCUUGAUGGGUAUGUAUGCUCCUAAAGCAACAAGAGUUUUAAAGAUGUAAGGUUCAUUUGAUGAAGUCUAUAUGCCAGUUAGGGUUAACAGUGCAUUCCCAUCCUUGUCUAGUCAGGAGUAAACCUAAAUAAACAUUCAAGUUCAAGAUUCUUAAGGGAAAUGUCCUCUUUUUAAUCUAACAAACAAGUUGUUGGUAAAAAUAAAUAAAUGGAGAAUUCAGAAAGAUCUCCUAAACACAAAUAAAUGAAUAAAGAUUGUUUUUAGUUUAGCCCUCCUUCAACCUAUCUUAGAAACACUUCAAUACUUCAUCUCAAUGUGGAGAUGAAAUAAAGUGGAAGCAAACUUUGCUUAUGAGGGACUAGUAUGAAGAUUUUUGUGAUUGUUAAUAACAAGGACUAAGGCUGAAUACAUGUUCUUUGUAUCUCCUCAGACAUGGGGUUUAAUUUGUAACUACUCACACCAUUAGAUUUGACUGUACAUAAUGAUAUGGUUUACACUCAGCCAAGCACUCAUUUGAUUGAAAAUCACAUGAUCACAUAAGUGGGAAGUUAAUUUUUGCUCUGUGGGUAAAAAAGUAGUUGCUUUCAGGUAGAAAAAGCAGCUGUUGCAAAAUGCUUUGGAUCCUUUCUGCGUAUUUUCUCUUGCUGCAUUCUCCUGGAAAUGCAGAACCAAAAGAUCUUUUUCUUUCCAGAAAAAAUGGUCAGUCAGGAAUUGAUGGUUCUUAUUGCUGAAGAAGGGCAAAGCAUCAAUCUCACCUGCAAGUUUAUGCAUACGAUUGAAGGUCUGUAUCUUAAACGAACUUUUGCAAAGCCCACAGAUGUGCUUUUUAUUACCUAUCAUGGUAAAAACAAGAAAGAAGAUUCUGCAUACAAAAAUCGCACUGAGUAUUUUGAGGUGAACAACACAGCCACAAUUACACUGAAGCAACUGAAGGAAAAUGAUAGUGACGGAUAUAUGUGUGCAGCAACCUUGACCACAGAUACUGGGCUUAAGCUAAAGAAUAGCCCAGUGAAGUUUCUUUUGGUAGUAAAAGCACCUUCAGAGAAGAAUUUUGAAUCUCCCCGGAUGCUGUAUAUUUUUAUUUCUGUGUUAAUGCUCUUGGUUUUUAUGCUUGGAUCAUAUAUCAUCUAUCAUGCAGAUAUGAAGAAGUGCUUCCAACAAGGACAUGCAAAGAAAAGGCAAAAUUUCAUCUAUGAAGACAUGACAUACAGCCUGAGGUGCCAGAACACUGAAAAUAAAAAAAAUCAAUAUGCUAUGUAAUAUUGAACACUGAAUAACACAAUGUUGUUGAAAUUCCAACAAAUUCAUAAUUGUUUCAUUAUUUUUUAAAGAAAUGAUCAAAAAGUGUACACUUUGAGCACCAGUUUGCAUCUCACAGACAUGAACCAAUAAUAGUAUUUAAAAUUUGAAAGCUAAUGUUCAAAAACUCCAUUCAGGUAGCCCAUUGAAUGUGUGAAGGGCUCAAACUGCAUCGAGAAUGAUAGCUACUAAUUCCAUCCCCUCUGACUUCCACACAUUUUGCUGGAGGUCUGAAAAGAGCCAAAUUUGCUUUUGCUUGGAUGGGAGAAUAGCCCUCAGUACAGUUAGAGCAGUGGUUCUCAACCUUUUUAAUGCCGCGACCCCCAACCAGUCGUAAGUUGAGGACUACCCAACCGGUCAUACGUCGAGGACUUUCCCUGCCCAGGACUGCCGCACAUGCGUGGU